GAUGAACGCUGGCGGCGUGCCUAAUACAUGCAAGUCGAGCGAACAGACGAGGAGCUUGCUCCUCUGACGUUAGCGGCGGACGGGUGAGUAACACGUGGAUAACCUACCUAUAAGACUGGGAUAACUUCGGGAAACCGGAGCUAAUACCGGAUAAUAUAUUGAACCGCAUGGUUCAAUAGUGAAAGACGGUUUUGCUGUCACUUAUAGAUGGAUCCGCGCCGCAUUAGCUAGUUGGUAAGGUAACGGCUUACCAAGGCAACGAUGCGUAGCCGACCUGAGAGGGUGAUCGCCCACACGGGAACUGGGACACGGUCCAGACUCCUACGGGAGGCAGCAGUAGGGAAUCUUCCGCAAUGGGCGAAAGCCUGCCGGAGCAACGCCGCGUGAGUGAUGAAGGUCUUCGGAUCGUAAACCUCUGUUAUUAGGGAAGAACAAAUGUGUAAGUAACUAUGCACGUCUUGACGGUACCUAAUCAGAAAGCCACGGCUAACUACGUG
Molecule: ribosomal RNA, 497 nt
Filed under: uncultured bacterium
Lineage: Bacteria
Description: partial 16S ribosomal RNA
Rfam family: Bacterial small subunit ribosomal RNA
Source: RNAcentral